UCCGGUGUUGACAUGAAUAUCAAUUAUAUGGUCAUUUUUAUAAAUUUUCUGUUUACAAAACUUUUGAAUUUUUCGAAAAACUAAGGAUUUUCUUACCCCAGGAGUAGAUUACCUUAGCCGUAUUUGGCACAACUUUUGGGAAUUUUGGGUCCUCAAUGCUCUUCAACUUUGUAUUUGUUUGGCUUUUUAACUAUUUUGAUCUGAGCGUCACUGAUGAGUCUUAUG
Molecule: long non-coding RNA, 225 nt
Filed under: Mytilus galloprovincialis (Mediterranean mussel)
Lineage: Eukaryota; Metazoa; Mollusca; Bivalvia; Mytilida; Mytilidae
Source: RNAcentral